GGGGACGUGGCGGAAUUGGUAGACGCGCGGGUCUCAAAAACCCGUUACCUUACGGUAGUGUGGGUUCGAUUCCCACCAUCCCCACCA
Molecule: transfer RNA, 87 nt
Filed under: Rhodospirillaceae bacterium
Lineage: Bacteria; Pseudomonadati; Pseudomonadota; Alphaproteobacteria; Rhodospirillales; Rhodospirillaceae
Also listed under: 4 other names
Description: tRNA-Leu
Rfam family: tRNA
About the family: Transfer RNA (tRNA) molecules are approximately 80 nucleotides in length. Their secondary structure includes four short double-helical elements and three loops (D, anti-codon, and T loops).
Source: RNAcentral